Molecule: long non-coding RNA, 325 nt
Organism: Neofelis nebulosa (Clouded leopard)
Lineage: Eukaryota; Metazoa; Chordata; Mammalia; Carnivora; Felidae
Exons: 2
Source: RefSeq, a predicted model, not a curated record
GGGAGGGGAGCCCAGAGAAACCCCCUCCCUUCGUGUUCUGAGGCUGUCUGCCCGAGACCCAGGCGCCCAGGCCAAGCUGGAGAGAUGCGCCCGCCAACAGAAACCGCAGUAUCCAACGCCUGUGGGCUGGAUCCCGAGCCUGUAGGAGCACCCACGAAGCCUCACUCCAUCCCUGCCCGUAUGUCCGGGGGCACCCAGAGAGAGCCAGGAAGCCAGGCUCACCUCCGCUCUUCACCUCGGGAGAACAGGACCAAGUUCCCCCAAAGGCCCAGCCAGGCUGAAUUGGCCCAGAUUAAUAAAGACCUGCCCUGCCCCCACCCACCCA